AUACGUAGGUGACAAGCGUUAUCCGGAUUUACUGGGUGUAAAGGGCGUGUAGGCGGUUUAGCAAGUCAGAAGUGAAAUUCCCGGGCUUGACUUGGGCGCUGCUUCUGAAACUGCUUUACUUGAGUGCUGGAGAGGAUAGUGGAAUUCCUAGUGUAGCGGUAAAAUGCGCAGAUAUUAGGAGGAACACCGGUGGCGAAGGCGGCUAUCUGGACAGUAACUGACGCUGAGGCGCGAAAGCACGGGGAGCAAACAGGAUUAGAUACCCUGGUAGUCCGUGCCGUAAACGAUGAAUACUAGGUGUAGGGGGUAUCGACUCCCUCUGUGCCGCAGUUAACACAUUAAGUAUUCCACCUGGGGAGUACGGCCGCAAGGUUGAAACUCAAAUGAAUUGGCGGGG
This 397-nucleotide ribosomal RNA is filed under the name uncultured bacterium. RNAcentral describes it as "partial 16S ribosomal RNA". It matches the Rfam family "Bacterial small subunit ribosomal RNA", at positions 523 to 918 of the family's 1533-position model. The record is from RNAcentral.